Culex quinquefasciatus (southern house mosquito) is the source of this 363-nucleotide long non-coding RNA. RefSeq lists it as uncharacterized. The transcript has 3 exons. Lineage: Eukaryota; Metazoa; Arthropoda; Insecta; Diptera; Culicidae. The record is from RefSeq and is a predicted model, not a curated record.
UGUCAACUGUAACCCAACAGAAAAUUAGACGAGUCCCUUUCCAAUUCCCCAAAACACACAAACACACAAUCAAAGUGAACAAGAUAAAAAGUGCACACGAUAGAGCUCCGAACAAUAACGACCAAAAACAGUUAGAAACGACAUCUAGGCGAAAAAGAGAAUCCCCAAAAUCAUUACCAAACCAAUGCAUUUUCUCGACGCCACAAAACCGACAUUUUACAAAUUUUACAAAACUGAACCAAGACAACCGAACACCUACGUACGAUUUCCCUGAAGAUGAUUUAAUAAAAAUCGAAACGUCGGAUAAAGUACACAAAUAAGUGUUUGAGCUGCUUCCAACGACUGCAAGCCGAAAAUCCAUCU